GGAGCCUCAAAGCGUGGAAAGCCAGAGCUUCAGGCAGAAGAAAAGAACACUGGGGUGCACACACAAGCUCCCCUGAGAAGUGCUCUUGUGAAGCCGGGAGCCUGGCUGCCGUUAAAGCUGGACUUGAUUAUGCAAGAGUCACUGCUGUGAGUCACCUGGGUAAAGAACGCUCUGGCCACCUUUGCAUCCUCUCUGCCACCUCACCAUCCAUCUUGCCAUCAUCUAGUGACACCCAUUCCCAGUCGGCCUUACCAAUGAUGGUGGCUGACAAGUGUGGGGGAGGUUUCAGAGGGUGAGAACUUGACAAUCAUGGUGAAGAGUAUGUUGGCAGACAGUAGCUGAGAGGUCACAUCUGAUCCACACCUUGGAGGCAAAGACAGAGAAAACAUGCAAGACUGGGCCUGAUAGCAGAGAGAGCUUUAAGACCCCUCGAAGGUGAAUGUGAACUCAUUACAGUCAGGAGACCGAGCUGGGACAGGCUUGUGCCUGUCUUCAGAUGGGAAAUCUAAAGAGUGGAGAAAGCCUGGCUGGGAGCUACCAAGCCUGGAAGAGGAACCUGCA
Mus musculus (house mouse) is the source of this 561-nucleotide long non-coding RNA. RefSeq annotates it as predicted gene, 41214. The transcript is spliced from 4 exons. The record is from RefSeq and is a predicted model, not a curated record. NCBI's taxonomy places the organism in Eukaryota, Metazoa, Chordata, Mammalia, Rodentia, Muridae.